CACUAGGAAGCUAAACCGGGCCUAGCGUCAGCCUUUUAAGCUGAAGAUUGGUGGCCCCCAACCACCUCUAGUGA
Molecule: transfer RNA, 74 nt
Filed under: Potamalosa richmondia (Australian freshwater herring)
Lineage: Eukaryota; Metazoa; Chordata; Actinopteri; Clupeiformes; Clupeidae
Description: tRNA-Lys
Rfam family: tRNA
About the family: Transfer RNA (tRNA) molecules are approximately 80 nucleotides in length.
Source: RNAcentral